RNAcentral lists this ribozyme (116 nucleotides) under Aedes aegypti (yellow fever mosquito). RNAcentral's name for it is "drz-agam-1 ribozyme". It matches the Rfam family "drz-agam-1 ribozyme". The record is from Rfam by way of RNAcentral. Lineage: Eukaryota; Metazoa; Arthropoda; Insecta; Diptera; Culicidae.
UGCCCAGCAACUCCUAUCCCUACCUCCUCGUGGCACUGGCCGGGGUACGAGUAACCUUAGGGAAGAUCGGGAAACCAACCUCGGUGGGAGCUUUAGUCGUUUGCUAACAUGGAAGG